ACCUCUAGCCUAAGGAAGCCUCAGCCAAAGAAGAGGGGGGGUAGAAGGGCAGGGGCCCUGUGGGGUCAUGUGACUGUUCUCCUCUUCCCAGACACUGGAUGCAUUUGCUGCAAUGGCCUGUGCUGAAAUGCUGACAAGAGACAUCUUGAAUCCAAGUCCCCAGGCCUGGCUGCAGCUGGUGAAGAAGCUGUCCAUACCGCUGGAGCUCGUCUGCUCCGAUGGGUACUUGGAAGGCAGUGGGAGCACAGCCAGAGCUGUCACUGCAGAGGUCAGAACCCAGUGGAAUCGUGUUUUCCCCAUUGCAUUCUUUGUGAAGCAUGUGCUCCUGGGGACCAAGAGCCAGAUUCCUGAGCUGUGUCAGCUGGUGACCAAGUAGGUCUUUUCACUAGACAAGGUGAGCACUGGGCA
RNAcentral lists this long non-coding RNA (408 nucleotides) under Ictidomys tridecemlineatus (thirteen-lined ground squirrel). RNAcentral describes it as "lncRNA (ENSSTOG00000032712.1)". The record is from RNAcentral. Lineage: Eukaryota; Metazoa; Chordata; Mammalia; Rodentia; Sciuridae.